This 500-nucleotide ribosomal RNA is filed under the name uncultured bacterium. Its description in RNAcentral is "bacterial SSU rRNA". It matches the Rfam family "Bacterial small subunit ribosomal RNA", at positions 30 to 525 of the family's 1533-position model. The record is from RNAcentral.
AUUGAACGCUGGCGGCAUGCUUUACACAUGCAAGUCGAACGGUAACAGGUCUUCGGAUGCUGACGAGUGGCGAACGGGUGAGUAAUGCAUCGGAACGUGCCCAGUCGUGGGGGAUAACGCAGCGAAAGCUGUGCUAAUACCGCAUACGAUCUAUGGAUGAAAGCGGGGGAUCGCAAGACCUCGCGCGAUUGGAGCGGCCGAUGUCAGAUUAGCUAGUUGGUGGGGUAAAGGCCCACCAAGGCGACGAUCUGUAGCUGGUCUGAGAGGACGACCAGCCACACUGGGACUGAGACACGGCCCAGACUCCUACGGGAGGCAGCAGUGGGGAAUUUUGGACAAUGGGCGCAAGCCUGAUCCAGCAAUGCCGCGUGCAGGGAGAAGGCCUUCGGGUUGUAAACUGCUUUUGUACGGAACGAAAAGGUCUGGGUUAAUACCCUGGGCUCAUGACGGUACCGUAAGAAUAAGCACCGGCUAACUACGUGCCAGCAGCCGCGGUAAUA